Limanda limanda (common dab) is the source of this 135-nucleotide small nucleolar RNA. NCBI's taxonomy places the organism in Eukaryota, Metazoa, Chordata, Actinopteri, Pleuronectiformes, Pleuronectidae. The record is from RefSeq and is a predicted model, not a curated record.
UUGGCUUUGAAUCAAGACCACCAGCUUGUUGUAGCUGUUGGUUUCAAAUAGAGCCGACAUGAACUCCUUCCUGUGGUCUGUUGAUUUCUCCCAGAGUUAAUAUGGGGUUCAUCAUUUCAGUUGGAAGGAACACAA